This is a long non-coding RNA of Aphis gossypii (cotton aphid), 1161 nucleotides long. RefSeq lists it as uncharacterized. The transcript is spliced from 3 exons. The record is from RefSeq and is a predicted model, not a curated record. Lineage: Eukaryota; Metazoa; Arthropoda; Insecta; Hemiptera; Aphididae.
UAUUUAUUUUAAUUUAUUAUUAUUAUUAUUAUUUUAUGGCAAACUUAAUACUUCUUAUAACUAUUUAAGUAAUUAUCUUUUUAGACUUUUCUCUUUUGAUGGCUCAUCUGCACAUCGAGUACUUACGUUAGAAAAAAGAAAUGAAGAAAAUCGGUCCUGUACAGUUUCAGAUAUAAUAGCUAUCAUAAGAAAUCGCCUCACGUGAUAUUAUAAAAAACCUAUUUAAAUUUUCAUUCAGAUUUAUAACUGAUAAUACUAUCAGACUGUCUCAUUUUGGUACACAUGUUGACCACAAUAUUACUUAUUAGUUACCUAUUACUAUUCAUUUUCAUGCCGUUGUAAUAGAUUUAGGAUUGCGUAUUAUUUUUCGUAUAAUAUUACUAUAUAAACUAUAGUAUUUAAUAUUUAUGUCUGAUUGUCCGAGAUGGAAAAAAACAGGAAAACCAUUUUUAUAAUUUACCGUAUCUGCGGUUACUGAUUAGCCACCAGUUUCUAUCAUAUUGUUUAUUGUCUAUAGUUUCAAUACAGUUGACCGUCGUCGAUACUCAAUUGUCAUUUUUAUUUUCUUAAUAAUACUGGACUUUUUCAUAUCGAAGUUUGACAAGUGACAAUAUUAUAUUCUUUUGUGAUUUACUAGUUAUUACGUUUAUAAUGUUUGCCUAUUAAAAUUUGUAUUUUUUAUUUAUUUGUGUUAAUUAUUAUAAAGUAUGUUCUGUAUUUCUGUGUGUUUUUCAUUUACAUUUACUGUUGAUGAUGUACCGUUGUGUAAAUGGGUUAUCAUUGUAAUGUCGACCGCAGUGGCUUGUAGUGAGGUCAAAGAAUCAAUCAUUUUGUAAAAUUAUUCAGAAGAUAAAAACCGUUCCAAUAAUAGAAGACUUAGUAACCACCGACUUGUAAUUGUAUGCCGACUACAUUAAACGGCGGGAGGAAAUCGGACAGACAAUGGCCAACAUCAUCAACUACCUACCUAUCGAGGAGAAUGUGAGCCUCUUGGAAGCUUUAGACACUAUAUGGAUGAUAUCUAGAUUUUUUGGCAUGAGCUUUACGAGUCACAAGAAUCUUUUAAAUACUUCCUUUUUUUAAAUUGAAUAAAAAAAAUGGUUCACAACAAAUAUUUAUUGAAAGUAGGUUUGGUAGCAAACAUGUUUAUUGGUCUAUGUA